Molecule: ribosomal RNA, 402 nt
Filed under: Bradyrhizobium japonicum
Lineage: Bacteria; Pseudomonadati; Pseudomonadota; Alphaproteobacteria; Hyphomicrobiales; Nitrobacteraceae
Description: bacterial SSU rRNA
Rfam family: Bacterial small subunit ribosomal RNA
Source: RNAcentral
CUCAGACGGUCGCANAGAUGUGANCCUCUCUUCGGAGCCUGGAGCACAGGUGCUGCAUGGCUGUCGUCAGCUCGUGUCGUGAGAUGUUGGGUUAAGUCCCGCAACGAGCGCAACCCCCGUCCUUAGUUGCUACCAUUUAGUUGAGCACUCUAAGGAGACUGCCGGUGAUAAGCCGCGAGGAAGGUGGGGAUGACGUCAAGUCCUCAUGGCCCUUACGGGCUGGGCUACACACGUGCUACAAUGGCGGUGACAAUGGGAUGCUAAGGGGCGACCCUUCGCAAAUCUCAAAAAGCCGUCUCAGUUCGGAUUGGGCUCUGCAACUCGAGCCCAUGAAGUUGGAAUCGCUAGUAAUCGUGGAUCAGCACGCCACGGUGAAUACGUUCCCGGGUUGGACCCCACCGA